Molecule: ribosomal RNA, 429 nt
Filed under: Bacillota bacterium
Lineage: Bacteria; Bacillati; Bacillota
Description: Firmicutes bacterium partial 16S ribosomal RNA
Rfam family: Bacterial small subunit ribosomal RNA
Source: RNAcentral
UAGGUAAUCUUCGGCAAUGGACGGAAGUCUGACCGAGCAACGCCGCGUGAGUUAAGAAGGUUUUCGGAUCGUAAAGCUCUCUUUUUAGAGAAGAACGUUGGUAUGAGUGGAAAAUCUACCAAGUGACGGUAACUAACCAGAAAGGGACGGCUAACUACGUGCCAGCAGCCGCUGUAAUACGUAGGUCCCGAGCGUUGUCCGGAUUUAUUGGGCGUAAAGCGAGCGCAGGCGGUUCUUUAAGUCUGAAGUUAAAGGCAGUGGCUUAACCAUUGUACGCUUUGGAAACUGGAGGACUUGAGUGCAGAAGGGGAGAGUGGAAUUCCAUGUGUAGCGGUGAAAUGCGUAGAUAUAUGGAGGAACACCGGUGGCGAAAGCGGCUCUCUGGUCUGUAACUAACGAUGAGGCUCGAAAGCGUGGGGAGCAAACAGG